Apis mellifera (honey bee) is the source of this 91-nucleotide non-coding RNA. The record is from Rfam. NCBI's taxonomy places the organism in Eukaryota, Metazoa, Arthropoda, Insecta, Hymenoptera, Apidae.
UUAUAAUGAUGCUUUGCCAUGCUAAUACCGAAAGAUCAUGCUAAUAUGCUUUGGAUCUUGAUGAGUUAAACUUCAAAAAUAACUGAAUAUU